GAUGAACGCUGGCGGCGUGCCUAAUACAUGCAAGUCGAACGAACAGAUAAGGAGCUUGCUCCUUUGAAGUUAGCGGCGGACGGGUGAGUAACACGUGGGUAACCUACCUAUAAGACUGGGAUAACUUCGGGAAACCGGAGCUAAUACCGGAUAACAUUUAGAACCGCAUGGUUCUAAAGUGAAAGAUGGUUUUGCUAUCACUUAUAGAUGGACCCGCGCCGUAUUAGCUAGUUGGUAAGGUAACGGCUUACCAAGGCGACGAUACGUAGCCGACCUGAGAGGGUGAUCGGCCACACUGGAACUGAGACACGGUCCAGACUCCUACGGGAGGCAGCAGUAGGGAAUCUUCCGCAAUGGGCGAAAGCCUGACGGAGCAACGCCGCGUGAGUGAUGAAGGGUUUCGGCUCGUAAAACUCUGUUAUUAGGGAAGAANCAAUGUGUAAGUAACUGUGCACAUCUUGACGGUACCUAAUCAGAAAGCCACGGCUAACUACGUGCCAGCAGCCGCGGUUAUACGUAGGUGGCAAGCGUUAUCCGGAAUUAUUGGGCGUAAGCGCGCGUAGGCGGUUUCUUAGUCUGAUGUGAAAGCCCACGGCUCAACCUUGGAGGGUCAUUGGAAACUGGGAAACUUGAGUGCAGAAGAGGAAAGUGGAAUUCCAUGUGUAGCGGUGAAAUGCGCAGAGAUAUGGAGGAACACCAGUGGCGAAGGCGACUUUCUGGUCUGUAACUGACGCUGAUGUGCGAAAGCGUGGGGAUCAAACAGGAUUAGAUACCCUGGUAGUCCACGCCGUAAACGAUGAGUGCUAAGUGUUAGGGGGUUUCCGCCCCUUAGUGCUGCAGCUAACGCAUUAAGCACUCCGCCUGGGGAGUACGACCGCAAGGUUGAAACUCAAAGGAAUUGACGGGGACCCGCACAAGCGGUGGAGCAUGUGGUUUAAUUCGAAGCAACGCGAAGAACCUUACCAAAUCUUGACAUCCUUUGAAAACUCUAGAGAUAGAGCCUUCCCCUUCGGGGGACAAAGUGACAGGUGGUGCAUGGUUGUCGUCAGCUCGUGUCGUGAGAUGUUGGGUUAAGUCCCGCAACGAGCGCAACCCUUAAGCUUAGUUGCCAUCAUUAAGUUGGGCACUCUAGGUUGACUGCCGGUGACAAACCGGAGGAAGGUGGGGAUGACGUCAAAUCAUCAUGCCCCUUAUGAUUUGGGCUACGCACGUGCUACAAUGGACAAUACAAAGGGCAGCUAAACCGCGAGGUCAUGCAAAUCCCAUAAAGUUGUUCUCAGUUCGGAUUGUAGUCUGCAACUCGACUACAUGAAGCUGGAAUCGCUAGUAAUCGUAGAUCAGCAUGCUGCGGUGAAUACGUUCCCGGGUCU
This 1370-nucleotide ribosomal RNA is filed under the name uncultured bacterium. RNAcentral describes it as "bacterial SSU rRNA". It matches the Rfam family "Bacterial small subunit ribosomal RNA", at positions 28 to 1381 of the family's 1533-position model. The record is from RNAcentral.